CAUCAAACAUGUUGAGAAAAUCCAACGGAUCAGUAGUCCCAUCAAACAGCUCUAUCGAGGGUAUCUUUAAGUUCAUAUCUACUUUUGCAUUCUCGAUAUCCUCUAAUAACGGGCUGAUGGCCGCAGCCUCUACUCCACCAGCCUGAGACUUCACCAACUCUCUGAGGGCCGCCAUUUCGGCUCUCAGCUUCACCAUUUCUGCAGACUCCUUUUUGCUUGAACCAUCCUCUUUCAAUUCCUCAUCCUCUAUCUUUUUCCGCCUUCGUGAGCUAUGUGAGCCUACUGAAUCCUCCUUCUUAGAGCGUUCGCUAUAUGCUGUGCUCUUU
Molecule: long non-coding RNA, 326 nt
Filed under: Daucus carota (carrot)
Lineage: Eukaryota; Viridiplantae; Streptophyta; Magnoliopsida; Apiales; Apiaceae
Description: long non-coding RNA (DCAR_LNC001858)
Source: RNAcentral